ACUAAAUCCCAGCCCUUGGGGUCAGAAGCUCCAGAGAGAGGUGGCCUAAACCCCUGCAUAUUCUGCCUAGGACUGGGUCCUGGCUGGGGACAGGGGAGAGGGGAGAGGAGAAGGGGACUUUUUGUCACAGCUCAAGGGGUGCAGUUGAAACCUCAUCAACCUCCAAGCCUUUGCCAGUAUGACAUUAUUUUCACCAUUUUCCCAAAUCCCACUUUUCCUGAGACUCUCUUCUCCCAUCCUCUCCAUCUAUCUUGCCUUUUCUGCCAGGGUUGCUCUCCUUCAAAAACAAAUAGUUCUGCCUCUGCCCUGGAAUGCCUCUGGAAGCCAGGAACUGUUAUCUCCCUGGACAACACUCCAGCCAGUGCUUGGAGUGUGAUUUACAUUAUUGACCAUAAGUCACAGAAGGAGAAACCUCCACUGAGCAGAGUGGCAGGGCCAUGCUGGAUAGGCAGCCAGGAGCAGCUCAGGGGGUCUCCUCCAGAGGGGCCCCCACGAUGGGGGCAGGGAGGGUCCCCUUCCAGGAGCAACAAGGGGUCUCCCCACCCCAGGUCCCCACAAUGGGGCUGGGGAGAGAUCUCCUCCCCCAGGACCCCAGGAUGGUACAGUGAAGAGGCCACUGCACCCCGUUCCUGGCUGUGUGGGCUGGUGUGUGAUUGUGGCAGCCAGGAGCUUGAAAGGAGACGCUGGGUUCUUCUGGGAUUUGUUGCUAGGAUUGCAGGCUUCAGGCCUGACUCACCCAGCAGGGCUGGGUGCAAGCCAAGGGGCCACAGAAAGACUCUGGGGUCAUACACGCGGCCGUUGGCUAUGCCAGCUCAGCCUGCUGGGGACCAGCCAGGGCUUGCUGGGCAGGGGGAGUGUGGCCCAGGGAGUCAAGACCUUUAUGCAAUUACAGAGGCUUUUUCUUUACUGGAGCAAGAAGACAUUCCUCUUCAGAGAACGGAUUACAAAGCAAAUUGUUCCUGCCCCUCUUCAAAGGCCAGCGAGGUCAGGAAACUGCACUGUCCCUCUCCAAAAAGUUUAAAAAUGCAGGCAGGUUUGUCUGCUUUAGACAUUUUGGUGUAA
RNAcentral lists this long non-coding RNA (1062 nucleotides) under Sus scrofa (pig). RNAcentral describes it as "lncRNA (ENSSSCG00070023080.1)". Lineage: Eukaryota; Metazoa; Chordata; Mammalia; Artiodactyla; Suidae. The record is from RNAcentral.